UACAGAGGUCUCAAGCGUUGUUCGGAUUCAUUGGGCGUAAAGGGCUCGUAGGCGGCCAACUAAGUCAGACGUGAAAUCCCUCGGCUUAACCGGGGAACUGCAUCUGAUACUGGAUGGCUUGAGUUCGGGAGAGGGAUGUGGAGUUCCAGGUGUAGCGGUGAAAUGCGUAGAUAUCUGGAGGAACACCGGUGGCGAAGGCGGCAUCCUGGACCGACACUGACGCUGAGGAGCGAAAGCCAGGGGAGCAAACGGG
Molecule: ribosomal RNA, 253 nt
Filed under: uncultured bacterium
Lineage: Bacteria
Description: partial 16S ribosomal RNA
Rfam family: Bacterial small subunit ribosomal RNA
Source: RNAcentral